UAAAAAUUUGUUUAUAGGUAUUUGUAUACAUAUAUGUUAUUAAUAGGCGCGAGAAUUAAAAGUUUUUUUGCUUUUAGGUUCCGGGUAAUUAUGAGUAAAAUGCAAGUUUGGGCAAUAAAUAAAAGGCAUUUUAAAUAGAGGCAAUAGUUUUAGUAGGGCAGUUACUAAAAUUAAAUAUUCGGGGGGCCGAGAUAUAGAAGAAAUUUUUAGUAUAAACAAAAUUUGUGCCAGCAGUUGCGGUUACACAAAUUAUGCAAUGGAAGUUUGUUAGGUGUAGUUAAUCAAUUUUGAUAUAACAUGGGUUAAAAAAAAUUUUAUUAGGUGAAAUUUUAAGAUUUUGAAUACCUUUAACGAUUUAGAUGAGGCUAGGAAGUUUUGACGAAAGACUAGGAUUAGAUACCCUAUUAUAAAAAUUAAGUAUUUGAGCCUGGAUUAUUAGUAGUUAAGUUCUUGAAAAUUAAUAGAGAUGGCGGUAUUUUAGUCUAUUCAGAGGAAUCUGCCCUAUAAUUGAUAUUCCACGAUUUUUUUUACUUAGGUUUUUAGCUUAUAUAUCGCUGUAGGUUGAAUAUUUCUUAUGAACCAAAAUAUUCAUGAUUUUUAGGGAAAGGAAUUCAAGUCAAGAUGUAGCUUAUAUCUGAGAAGAGGUGGAUUACAUUUCAUUUAGUUAUGGUCUGAUGGUUGUAAAAUUUUCUUUAAAUUGGAUUUGAUAGUAAUUUUUUAGCAAAAUUUUAAGAAUGAUUUUGGCUCUAAAAUACGUACAUAUCGCCCGUCGCUUUCACUUUAAAGUGGAAUAAGUCGUAACAUAGUAGAUGUACUGGAAAGUGCCUCUAGAAGG
Molecule: non-coding RNA, 835 nt
Filed under: Euwallacea interjectus
Lineage: Eukaryota; Metazoa; Arthropoda; Insecta; Coleoptera; Curculionidae
Source: RNAcentral